RNAcentral lists this ribosomal RNA (425 nucleotides) under uncultured bacterium. Its description in RNAcentral is "partial 16S ribosomal RNA". It matches the Rfam family "Bacterial small subunit ribosomal RNA", at positions 354 to 796 of the family's 1533-position model. The record is from RNAcentral.
GUGGGGAAUCUUGCGCAAUGGGCGAAAGCCUGACGCAGCCAUGCCGCGUGGAUGAUGAAGGUCUUAGGAUUGUAAAAUCCUUUGACCGGUGAAGAUAAUGACUGUAGACGGAGAAGAAGCCCCGGCUAACUUCGUGCCAGCAGCCGCGGUAAUACGAAGGGGGCUAGCGUUGCUCGGAAUUACUGGGCGUAAAGGGCGCGUAGGCGGACAGCUUAGUCAGAGGUGAAAGCCCAGGGCUCAACCUUGGAAUUGCCUUUGAUACUGGCUGUCUUGAGUUUGGGAGAGGUGAGUGGUACUCCGAGUGUAGAGGUGAAAUUCGUAGAUAUUCGGAAGAACACCAGUGGCGAAGGCGACUCACUGGCCCAAUACUGACGCUGAGGCGCGAAAGCGUGGGGAGCAAACAGGAUUAGAUACCCUAGUAGUCC